RNAcentral lists this ribosomal RNA (406 nucleotides) under uncultured bacterium. RNAcentral describes it as "partial 16S ribosomal RNA". It matches the Rfam family "Bacterial small subunit ribosomal RNA", at positions 30 to 526 of the family's 1533-position model. The record is from RNAcentral.
AUUGAACGCUGGCGGCAGGCCUAACACAUGCAAGUCGAACGAGUGGCGGACGGGUGAGUAAUGUCUGGGAAACUGCCUGAUGGAGGGGGCUAACUACUGGAAACGGUAGCUAAUACCGCAUACCAUCAGAUGUGCCCAGAUGGGAUGAGCUUGUUGGUGGGGUAACGGCUAACAAAGGCGACGAUCCCUAUCUGGUCUGAGAGGAUGACCAGCCACACUGGAACUGAUACACGGUCCAGACUCCUACGUGAGGCAGCAGUGGGGAAUAUUGCACAAUGGGCGCAAGCCGGAUGCAGCCAUGCCGCGUGUAUGAAGAAGGCCUUCGGGUUGUAAAGUACUUUCAGCGGGGAGGCGUUACCCGCAGAAGAAGCACCGGCUAACUCCGUGCCAGCAGCCGCGGUAAUUC